Molecule: long non-coding RNA, 268 nt
Filed under: Numida meleagris (helmeted guineafowl)
Lineage: Eukaryota; Metazoa; Chordata; Aves; Galliformes; Numididae
Description: lncRNA (ENSNMEG00000020066.1)
Source: RNAcentral
UCUUUUUUUUUUUUUUUGCUGUUGCUCCAGGAGACAUCCAAUGGGACAUGGGAGUAAGCAAGAGUGUUGGUCACAGUUCUGGUACUAUGUGCUAGAAGACAUUUUGAUAGAAAUAUCAGCCAUUGAGACCAAAUUAGUCCAUUUUGGUCUCUGUGAUGUUCCAGAUGAUCUCCAUUUCAAUAGUCCUCUCACUUUGUCAUCAGAAAAUUUUGACUAUAUGUGCCAAUUCUGUGAAGAAGAUUCAAGAGCCAAUAAAGGACUUGGGAAC